UCUUCUUCUUCUUCUUCUCCUGCGACGCACAGCAGCAGCACCGCCGUGUCAUCCAAGACCUCCACUGGGCUGACCAACGGGAACACGAGGCCCGUAUCCACGACGACCGCCACGCCCAUCACGCCCUUCCACACGCCGGCCAGCCCACCCGGCCGACAGGUAGAAACACUCACAUGUCUCUAGUUUACUUUUAUAGAACUGAAAUCCCUCAUGAAGCUAACACAUAUUUCCUUGUGUGAUGCGUUAAAACUAAUUAAGUACCAAUAUUCCCAGAAUCACGUUCGUACCAUGUGGUGUCCUAAUGUGUAAAUAUCGAUGUAUUCAUGACAUUCAUGUCAUCUUCGAUGAAGGCCAACCAAAUUUCUAACGACACGGAGCAACAGGUGUCGCGUAUUUCCGCUCCGGCCUUUUUCCUUUAAAACAGUCCACGGACGUGUCUAAACGCCUCUUUUGUUUUGCUCCAGGUAUCACAGCCCGCGGGCACACCUGGUCCUGUGCGAGCCAACCAGAGCCCCUCCCCCGUGAGGCAGCGGGUCUCCCAGCAGACCCUGCUCCUGGGGAAAGGUCUCAAAGGGUCUGGGCCAGACCAGGUGCUGCUCAGAGCUCAGAUGGUAAACACACACUUCCACUCGUACCCAUGUGAUGCUCUGAUUGGCCGCUCUCCUCUUCUUAUUUCCUCCCUUUUGUUCCCUCCUCUUCCUCCAGCAGCUGAUUCUCACGUCUGCUAUGCGACCUUCCCUUUCCUCUUCCUCCUCUUCCUCCUCUCCUCCUUCCUCUAACCAUGCCUCCGCUAAGGUGAGCAGCGGGGCAAAAAAACCACCGCUUCUAGGCCCCGCCCCUUUUAUUUACAUUCAUUUUAGGUUUGAAGUCAGCUUCACAUAUGAUGACGUAUGUCUGUUAAACAUACAGAUGUGAAGCCUGCAUCCUGCAGCCGGUUAGCAUAGCUUAGCACGAAGACUGGAAACAGACAUGAGCAACACGUUAAGGACACGUUAAGGACACGUUGAGAAGAUGUCGGAGGCUGACUGUUUCUUUCUGUCUCCCCAUCCAGCUCCAGAGCCUCACCCUGAGGCCCCCCCCCCCACGGGGCCCUCACCAUCCCUCCCUCCCUUCGCCUCAAGCCGCCGUGCUCGGCCCCGCCUCCCCUCUCUCGCCCUCAUGCCCCCCUCUUCCCCCCCCUGAGGCCGCGCCCGCAGUCCUGCCACACGGCGACGGAGAGACCAAACGCGCCCGGGCGCCACCUCUCCGUCCCGCCUCCGACUCUUUACUCUCCGGUCCGAGUCGUCCCUCUGAGACCCCGCCUCCACCCUGCAAACAGCCACAGGGCGGCGGUGCCGCGGGUGACCACGCCCCUCCAGCCAAUCGGCGCCGCCGCCCCCCCCCGCCUGUCGGGCCCCCCUCCCCGUCAGCAGGCCGG
Gasterosteus aculeatus (three-spined stickleback) is the source of this 1417-nucleotide long non-coding RNA. NCBI's taxonomy places the organism in Eukaryota, Metazoa, Chordata, Actinopteri, Perciformes, Gasterosteidae. The record is from Ensembl.